This 214-nucleotide long non-coding RNA is filed under the name Ananas comosus (pineapple). RNAcentral's name for it is "long non-coding RNA (ACOM_LNC034019)". The record is from RNAcentral. Lineage: Eukaryota; Viridiplantae; Streptophyta; Magnoliopsida; Poales; Bromeliaceae.
GAAAGAUAGAUGUUUAAGAGAGCAACAGGACUGAAUAGCAAGAUACGAUUCUGCAAUAUACAUCAUAUACUUCCAUCAAAAUAAGCAUGCGAGGUUUACGAGAACAAACACAACUAAAUGACAAGAUAUGAUUCAGCACAUAUGCUGAAUAUAUUUCAUCAAACAAACUGAAAAUUAGAGGUUUAUAUAUUUCAUCAAACAAACUGAAAAUUAG